UGCAAGUCGAGCGGUAAGGCCCUUCGGGGUACACGAGCGGCGAACGGGUGAGUAACACGUGGGUGAUCUGCCUUGCACUUCGGGAUAAGCCUGGGAAACUGGGUCUAAUACCGGAUAUGACCUUGGAAUGCAUGUUCUGGGGUGGAAAGAUUUAUCGGUGCGAGAUGGGCCCGCGGCCUAUCAGCUUGUUGGUGAGGUAACGGCUCACCAAGGCGACGACGGGUAGCCGACCUGAGAGGGUGACCGGCCACACUGGGACUGAGACACGGCCCAGACUCCUACGGGAGGCAGCAGUGGGGAAUAUUGCACAAUGGGCGCAAGCCUGAUGCAGCGACGCCGCGUGCGGGAUGACGGCCUUCGGGUUGUAAACCGCUUUUGACAGGGACGAAGCGCAAGUGACUGUACCUGUAGAAUAAGGACCGGCCAACUACGUGCCAGCAGCCGCGGUAAUACGUAGGGUCCGAGCGUUGUCCGGAAUUACUGGGCGUAAAGAGCUUGUAGGCGGUUCGUCGCGUCGUUUGUGAAAACUUGGGGCUCAACCUUAAGCUUGCAGGCGAUACGGGCGGACUAGAGUACUUCAGGGGAGACUGGAAUUCCUGGUGUAGCGGUGAAAUGCGCAGAUAUCAGGAGGAACACCGGUGGCGAAGGCGGGUCUCUGGGAAGUAACUGACGCUGAGAAGCGAAAGCAUGGGUAGCAAACAGGAUUAGAUACCCUGGUAGUCCAUGCCGUAAACGGUGGGUACUAGGUGUGGGGCUCCUUCCACGGACUCCGUGCCGUAGCUAACGCAUUAAGU
RNAcentral lists this ribosomal RNA (794 nucleotides) under Nocardia sp. LPB2010. Its description in RNAcentral is "bacterial SSU rRNA". It matches the Rfam family "Bacterial small subunit ribosomal RNA", at positions 56 to 865 of the family's 1533-position model. Lineage: Bacteria; Bacillati; Actinomycetota; Actinomycetes; Mycobacteriales; Nocardiaceae. The record is from RNAcentral.